RNAcentral lists this ribosomal RNA (910 nucleotides) under Alteromonas sp. RNAcentral's name for it is "bacterial SSU rRNA". It matches the Rfam family "Bacterial small subunit ribosomal RNA", at positions 57 to 965 of the family's 1533-position model. The record is from RNAcentral. Lineage: Bacteria; Pseudomonadati; Pseudomonadota; Gammaproteobacteria; Alteromonadales; Alteromonadaceae.
GCAGUCGAACGGAAACAUGUCUAGCUUGCUAGAUGAUGUCGAGUGGCGGACGGGUGAGUAAUGCUUGGGAACUUGCCUUUGCGAGGGGGAUAACAGUUGGAAACGACUGCUAAUACCGCAUAAUGUCUACGGACCAAACAGGGCUUCGGCUCNGGCGCAAAGAGAGGCCCAAGUGAGAUUAGCUAGUUGGUGAGGUAAAGGCUCACCAAGGCAACGAUCUCUAGCUGUUCUGAGAGGAAGAUCAGCCACACUGGGACUGAGACACGGCCCAGACUCCUACGGGAGGCAGCAGUGGGGAAUAUUGCACAAUGGGGGAAACCCUGAUGCAGCCAUGCCGCGUGUGUGAAGAAGGCCUUCGGGUUGUAAAGCACUUUCAGUUGUGAGGAAAAGUUAGUAGUUAAUACCUGCUAGCCGUGACGUUAACAACAGAAGAAGCACCGGCUAACUCCGUGCCAGCAGCCGCGGUAAUACGGAGGGUGCGAGCGUUAAUCGGAAUUACUGGGCGUAAAGCGCACGCAGGCGGUUUGUUAAGCUAGAUGUGAAAGCCCCGGGCUCAACCUGGGACGGUCAUUUAGAACUGGCAGACUAGAGUCUUGGAGAGGGGAGUGGAAUUCCAGGUGUAGCGGUGAAAUGCGUAGAUAUCUGGAGGAACAUCAGUGGCGAAGGCGACUCCCUGGCCAAAGACUGACGCUCAUGUGCGAAAGUGUGGGUAGCGAACAGGAUUAGAUACCCUGGUAGUCCACACCGUAAACGCUGUCUACUAGCUGUUUGUGACUUUAAGUCGUGAGUAGCGAAGCUAACGCGAUAAGUAGACCGCCUGGGGAGUACGGCCGCAAGGUUAAAACUCAAAUGAAUUGACGGGGGCCCGCACAAGCGGUGGAGCAUGUGGUUUAAUUCGAUGCAACGCGAA